UGCACAGGCAGAAACGUGGCCACCACUGGUCACUUCUCCUGUGCAGAAGAUUGCCAUGUGUCCUGUGAUGUUCUGCAGACAUUGCAUCUUGAAUGAACACACAGGAGCCAAUUGCAUCGUGUGCAAAGUGUAUCCAGGUCGGAUUUGUACUGUGAGGACAACUUGAUUUUGGCUCAGGUAUGCCUUCCCAUGGGGUAACAACGUCUCCAAGCAGAUGCUUCCUUAGCGAAGCCAGGAGGAGCAGCCGGACACUGGCCAGAACGUGCAAUAUGAUCUUGCUGCACAAGCCUCCGGUCUCUGCAACGCCCGGGAGCAAA
Molecule: long non-coding RNA, 317 nt
Filed under: Apteryx owenii (little spotted kiwi)
Lineage: Eukaryota; Metazoa; Chordata; Aves; Apterygiformes; Apterygidae
Description: lncRNA (ENSAOWG00000016560.1)
Source: RNAcentral